UGCCAGCAGCCGCGGUAAUACGUAGGGUGCGAGCGUUAAUCGGAAUUACUGGGCGUAAAGCGUGCGCAGGCGGUUUUGUAAGUCGGAUGUGAAAUCCCCGGGCUCAACCUGGGAACUGCGUUCGAAACUGCAAGGCUAGAGUGUGUCAGAGGGGGGUAGAAUUCCACGUGUAGCAGUGAAAUGCGUAGAGAUGUGGAGGAAUACCAAUGGCGAAGGCAGCCCCCUGGGAUAACACUGACGCUCAUGCACGAAAGCGUGGGGAGCAAACAGGAUUAGAUACCCUGGUAGUCCACGCCCUAAACGAUGUCAACUAGUUGUUGGUAGAGUAAAAUCUAUGAGUAACGUAGCUAACGCGUGAAGUUGACCGCCUGGGGAGUACGGUCGCAAGAUUAAAACUCAAAUGAAUUGACGG
This 412-nucleotide ribosomal RNA is filed under the name uncultured Methylophilaceae bacterium. Its description in RNAcentral is "bacterial SSU rRNA". It matches the Rfam family "Bacterial small subunit ribosomal RNA", at positions 506 to 916 of the family's 1533-position model. The record is from RNAcentral. Lineage: Bacteria; Pseudomonadati; Pseudomonadota; Betaproteobacteria; Nitrosomonadales; Methylophilaceae.